This 929-nucleotide long non-coding RNA is filed under the name Trifolium pratense (red clover). RNAcentral describes it as "long non-coding RNA (TPRA_LNC008010)". The record is from RNAcentral. Lineage: Eukaryota; Viridiplantae; Streptophyta; Magnoliopsida; Fabales; Fabaceae.
AGCAGUCGCUUAUCAAUUUCUUUUAGAAGAAAGAAAUAAAAAAUAAUUAAGAUGUAAAUAAUGUAAUCAUAUUUUGUAAUAUUACACGUACAUGUGUAUUGUGCCUCUACAACAUUUUUUUAUAAGUCAUAUCCACAAGAUAGAAUUCUUGAAUCUAUAUAUACCAUAUUUUAAUUUGUUUAGAAAGUAUUCUAAACCAUAUGCAAAACAAGUUCAAGCGCCUACAAUAUGGGUUUGUGGCUUAAUAGUGUGGAUAGUCAAGAUCAAGAAAUUUUCUUCAAUCUCAGUCUAUUGGAGUGGACUGGUCAUAAUUUACAAAGAGCUGGUGGUGAUCAGAAUAGUGUACAACUUGGUCGGAUUUCUGGGCUACUGCUUGUCAUGCGAUAUGGGCUGGCGCAAUAGAGGUAUUCAUAAUCUUAAUUUCCAGAGACUGAGUGAACAAGUGUAGGAAGUAGAGAGAUAUUGGCUGAGUUGUGGGGUAUUUUUGAAGGUCUGAAGUAUGCUUGGAGUUUGGGAUUCAGACGUGUGGUAUUACGAGUGGAUUCACAGAUCUUAUAGAGGCUUUGAUACCAACUUAAAAUUGUAUACAUAAUUCCUUCCUCGAUGUAAUCAUUUGAAACGUAAAAAUCAAAUUAUAGUUUUGAGAGCUACUAACUACUGGAUUAUGCUUCAUUUUUGUCAUGUUUACUAUAAUUUAAUUUAUUUUAACAUUAUAAUAGAGUUAUUGUGUGCAUGUUGUUAUCUGUUUGUGCUUUCUUGUUCAUACUAAAUAGCAAAGUCUUUGUAUUAAGGGGUAAUAUUUACCCUUUCCAAUAUCCUUCUCAUAUCAUUUUGAAUGACAAACCCUAACUAAAAACUUGGCAAUGCAAAAUGUCAAUUCGAUCGGAAGGUUAGUAUGUCUAGUUUACACCCAAAAAAAUUAGUUAUUU